GAUGAAGAACGUAGCGAAAUGCGAUAAGUAAUGUGAAUUGCAGAAUUCAGUGAAUCAUCGAAUCUUUGAACGCACCUUGCGCCCUUUGGCCAUUCCGAAGGGCAUGCCUGUUUUAGUAUCAUGAACACCUCAACUCUUUAUGGUUUUCCAUGAUGAGCUUGGACUCUGGGGGUUUUGCUGGCUCACAGUCGGCUCCUCUAAAAUGAAUCAGCUUACCAGUGUUUGGUGGGUAUCAUGGGUGUGAUAACUAUCUACGCUUGUGGUUUUUCCACCAGGUAACCUUCAGCAGUGGAGGUUCGCUGGAGCUCAUAGAUGUCUCUCCUCAGUGAGGACAGCCCUUUGAAUGUUUGAUCUCAAAUCAGGUAGGACUACCCGCUGAACUUAAGCAUAUCAAUAAGCGGAGGA
RNAcentral lists this unclassified non-coding RNA (405 nucleotides) under soil metagenome. RNAcentral's name for it is "partial contains 5.8S ribosomal RNA, internal transcribed spacer 2, and large subunit ribosomal RNA". The stretch from base 1 to 121 matches the Rfam family "5.8S ribosomal RNA", at positions 35 to 154 of the family's 154-position model. The record is from RNAcentral.